ACGUGUAAAUUGGAAGCGGGUCGAAGAUCCGAGGGAGAAUCGGGUUCAAGUCGGUUGUGGGCUAAACCCGAAAAGCCCAAAACUUCUCUCGCCCACCCGUAUAUGACGCCCAGUUUUAUAACGGUUCAUCACAAAAUUCAAAUCUCUCUGGAGUGACCUCUCUCUACCGGAUCAGGAACUCGCCGGAUGUCGGAAGGUCAUGACGGCGGAGGAUUGGUGGUAGGAGAUCGAAGAAAAAGCCGAUAUCGGUUGUUAGUUUCGUCUUCAGACAGGGAAAAGUUUGACGUUAAACAUGACCAUAAGUGCCCAAGAUUCAAAGCUUCUGUCAAUCUGGUAUCGAUGGAAUUUGCUCUUCUGUUUAUUCUUUUUCUGUACCAGAUGAAGAAAUCAUACAUGGCAAGCGUACGUAUUUCAUACCCGUUCCUUAUAAUGAAUGUGUGUCGUAUAUUAUCAGGUUUAUUGCAUGCUGCUCAUCUUUCAAGGUUAUGACGGAAAUAACAUCAUCUGUACCCCAGAAUGGUAACUUGCUUAUUAUUUUGAUAGGCUGAGUUAGGUCACCGUAUUAAUUGGUCAGCACCACAUGCAUCACAGCAAGUUUUGACAAUGACGUCGACUUGGUGUCAUGCUAAGUCUUUUGGAAUUUAUCGAGACUCUACUUGCCUUUGUUAACUCCAAACUUUAUAAUUCUGUAGAGGCGAAGUAACAGUAUUAUCAGCUCGUUGAUUCUUGAUUGGCGGCUUUAGCAGCGGUGGUGUGCUGCUGUCUUGGGAAGGAGAAGGCGUGCCUUUUAAGGAAGAUGAUGAAACUUUUACACAUAAGUUUUUCCUUAAGCCUACCCUGAGUCGUAUUUGUAUCUAUCAGUGUUGUAUGUCCAAUCACAGUGGACGUGCAUGAACUUAUAAUCUUCCUAACUGUGGGAACGUGUUAUGGUUUGCAAGGGGAAGAGGAGGAGGUAGCUUCAAAUAUAGGAAGAGAACUAUACCGUUCUUUUUUAUAAAACCCAUGAAGGGAAGGCAACAACAAUACGAUUGUGUUUCUUUUGAUGCAUUUGUUUGUUAAACUUGGGUUUUUAUGUGGAUUGCAGAUGAUAAAGCCAUAUCACAAGCGGAGUGUUGAAGGAGAAGUGGAUGUUGCGAUUCCCAUUCAAGGGUGAGAGUCCGACUGAGUCGAGUUUUGACGUCCACACCCAGACAUUACCGGACGACGAAUUAGCCAUCGAGACCCUACCCUAGUACAACC
Molecule: long non-coding RNA, 1239 nt
Organism: Tarenaya hassleriana
Lineage: Eukaryota; Viridiplantae; Streptophyta; Magnoliopsida; Brassicales; Cleomaceae
Exons: 8
Source: RefSeq, a predicted model, not a curated record